This 358-nucleotide unclassified non-coding RNA is filed under the name soil metagenome. RNAcentral describes it as "partial contains 5.8S ribosomal RNA, internal transcribed spacer 2, and large subunit ribosomal RNA". The stretch from base 1 to 120 matches the Rfam family "5.8S ribosomal RNA", at positions 35 to 154 of the family's 154-position model. The record is from RNAcentral.
GAUGAAGAACGCAGCGAAAUGCGAUAAGUAAUGUGAAUUGCAGAAUUCAGUGAGUCAUCGAAUCUUUGAACGCACAUUGCGCCCGUCAGUAUUCUGGCGGGCAUGCCUGUUCGAGCGUCAUUACGCCCCUCAAGUCCCCUGUGGACUUGGUGUUGGGGAUCGGCGAGGCUGGUUUUCCAGCACAGCCGUCCCUUAAAUUAAUUGGCGGUCUCGCCGUGGCCCUCCUCUGCGCAGUAGUAAAACACUCGCAACAGGAGCCCGGCGCGGUCCACUGCCGUAAAACCCCCCAACUUUUUAUAGUUGACCUCGAAUCAGGUAGGACUACCCGCUGAACUUAAGCAUAUCAAUAAGCGGAGGA